Molecule: small nucleolar RNA, 132 nt
Filed under: Jaculus jaculus (lesser Egyptian jerboa)
Lineage: Eukaryota; Metazoa; Chordata; Mammalia; Rodentia; Dipodidae
Description: Small nucleolar RNA SNORA71 (ENSJJAG00000002512.1)
Source: RNAcentral
ACUAGAAAAUAAAAGUGAUCAUGGGCUUCCCUGUGCCAUGGUCAUUCCUAGUUCAGGGAGAGGAUGCUGAAAACUUUUCUCUGUUUGGGGGGGGUUCCUUCUUGUCCUUUGUUCUUUUGUAGUUAUCUUCCU